GAUGAACGCUGGCGGCGUGCCUAAUACAUGCAAGUCGAGCGAACGGACGAGAAGCUUGCUUCUCUGAUGUUAGCGGCGGACGGGUGAGUAACACGUGGAUAACCUACCUAUAAGACUGGGAUAACGUCGGGAAACCGGAGCUAAUACCGGAUAAUAUUUUGAACCGCAUGGUUCAAAAGUGAAAGACGGUCUUGCUGUCACUUAUAGAUGGAUCCGCGCUGCAUUAGCUAGUUGGUAAGGUAACGGCUUACCAAGGCAACGAUGCAUAGCCGACCUGAGAGGGUGAUCGGCCACACUGGAACUUAGACACGGUCCAGACUCCUACGGGAGGCAGCAGUAGGGAAUCUUCCGCAAUGGGCGAAAGCCUGACGGAGCAACGCCGCGUGAGUGAUGAAGGUCUUCGGAUCGUAAAACUCUGUUAUUAGGGAAGAACAUAUGUGUAAGUAACUGUGCACAUCUUGACGGUACCUAAUCAGAAAGCCACGGCUAACUACGUG
This 497-nucleotide ribosomal RNA is filed under the name uncultured bacterium. RNAcentral describes it as "partial 16S ribosomal RNA". It matches the Rfam family "Bacterial small subunit ribosomal RNA", at positions 28 to 507 of the family's 1533-position model. The record is from RNAcentral.